RNAcentral lists this ribosomal RNA (818 nucleotides) under Escherichia coli. RNAcentral describes it as "partial 23S ribosomal RNA". It matches the Rfam family "Bacterial large subunit ribosomal RNA", at positions 1 to 862 of the family's 2925-position model. Lineage: Bacteria; Pseudomonadati; Pseudomonadota; Gammaproteobacteria; Enterobacterales; Enterobacteriaceae. The record is from RNAcentral.
GGUUAAGCGACUAAGCGUACACGGUGGAUGCCCUGGCAGUCAGAGGCGAUGAAGGACGUGCUAAUCUGCGAUAAGCGUCGGUGAGGUGAUAUGAACCGUUAUAACCGGCGAUUUCCGAAUGGGGAAACCCAGUGUGUUUCGACACACUAUCAUUAACUGAAUCCAUAGGUUAAUGAGGCGAACCGGGGGAACUGAAACAUCUAAGUACCCCGAGGAAAAGAAAUCAACCGAGAUUCCCCCAGUAGCGGCGAGCGAACGGGGAGGAGCCCAGAGCCUGAAUCAGUGUGUGUGUUAGUGGAAGCGUCUGGAAAGGCGUGCGAUACAGGGUGACAGCCCCGUACACAAAAAUGCACAUAUUGUGAGCUCGAUGAGUAGGGCGGGACACGUGGUAUCCUGUCUGAAUAUGGGGGGACCAUCCUCCAAGGCUAAAUACUCCUGACUGACCGAUAGUGAACCAGUACCGUGAGGGAAAGGCGAAAAGAACCCCGGCGAGGGGAGUGAAAAAGAACCUGAAACCGUGUACGUACAAGCAGUGGGAGCCUCUUAAUGGGGUGACUGCGUACCUUUUGUAUAAUGGGUCAGCGACUUAUAUUCUGUAGCAAGGUUAACCGAAUAGGGGAGCCGAAGGGAAACCGAGUCUUAACUGGGCGUUAAGUUGCAGGGUAUAGACCCGAAACCCGGUGAUCUAGCCAUGGGCAGGUUGAAGGUUGGGUAACACUAACUGGAGGACCGAACCGACUAAUGUUGAAAAAUUAGCGGAUGACUUGUGGCUGGGGGUGAAAGGCCAAUCAAACCGGGAGAUAGCUGGUUCUCCCCGA